GAAAUGCGAUAAGUAAUGUGAAUUGCAGAAUUCAGUGAAUCAUCGAAUCUUUGAACGCACCUUGCGCUCCUUGGUAUUCCUUGGAGCAUGCCUGUUUGAGUAUCAUGAAAUCUUCAAAGUAAAUCUUUUGUUAACUCAAUUGGUUUCUACUUUGGUAUUGGAGGUCUUUGCAGCUUCACACCUGCUCCUCUUUGUUCAUUAGCUGGAUCUCAGUGUUAUGCUUGGUUCCACUCGGCGUGAUAAGUUAUCUAUCGCUGAGGACACUGUAAAAGGUGGCCAAGGUAAUGCAGAUGAACCGCUUCUAAUAGUCCAUUGACUUGGACAAUACUUUUAUGAUCUGAUCUCAAAUCAGGUAGUACUACCCGCUGAACUUAAGC
Molecule: unclassified non-coding RNA, 377 nt
Filed under: plant metagenome
Description: partial contains 5.8S ribosomal RNA, internal transcribed spacer 2, and large subunit ribosomal RNA
Rfam family: 5.8S ribosomal RNA (bases 1-105)
Source: RNAcentral